This 73-nucleotide transfer RNA is filed under the name Felis catus (domestic cat). It matches the Rfam family "tRNA". Rfam says of the family: Transfer RNA (tRNA) molecules are approximately 80 nucleotides in length. Their secondary structure includes four short double-helical elements and three loops (D, anti-codon, and T loops). Further hydrogen bonds mediate the characteristic L-shaped molecular structure. tRNAs have two regions of fundamental functional importance: the anti-codon, which is responsible for specific mRNA codon recognition, and the 3' end, to which the tRNAs corresponding amino acid is attached (by aminoacyl-tRNA synthetases). tRNAs cope with the degeneracy of the genetic code in two manners: having more than one tRNA (with a specific anti-codon) for a particular amino acid; and 'wobble' base-pairing, i.e. permitting non-standard base-pairing at the 3rd anti-codon position. Lineage: Eukaryota; Metazoa; Chordata; Mammalia; Carnivora; Felidae. The record is from Rfam by way of RNAcentral. RNAcentral also lists the same sequence under 1 other name.
ACCUGGCUGGUUCAGUGGGUAGAACAUGCUACUCUUGAUCUCAGGGUCAUGAGUUCAAGCCCCAUGUCGGGCA